AGCGAACGCUGGCGGCAGGCCUAACACAUGCAAGUCGAACGGAUCCUUCGGGAUUAGUGGCGGACGGGUGAGUAACACGUGGGAACGUGCCCUUUGGUUCGGAACAACUCAGGGAAACUUGAGCUAAUACCGGAUGUGCCCUUCGGGGGAAAGAUUUAUCGCCAUUGGAGCGUCCCGCGUCUGAUUAGCUUGUUGGUGAGGUAACGGCCCACCACGGCGACGAUCAGUAGCUGGUCUGAGAGGAUGAUCAGCCACACUGGGACUGAGACACGGCCCAGACUCCUACGGGAGGCAGCAGUGGGGAAUCUUGCGCAAUGGGCGAAAGCCUGACGCAGCCAUGCCGCGUGAAUGAUGAAGGUCUUAGGAUUGUAAAAUUCUUUCAGCGGGGACGAUAAUGACGGUACCCGCAGAAGAAGCUCCGGCUAACUUCGUG
This 433-nucleotide ribosomal RNA is filed under the name uncultured bacterium. RNAcentral's name for it is "partial 16S ribosomal RNA". It matches the Rfam family "Bacterial small subunit ribosomal RNA", at positions 29 to 507 of the family's 1533-position model. The record is from RNAcentral.